RNAcentral lists this ribosomal RNA (440 nucleotides) under uncultured bacterium. RNAcentral's name for it is "partial 16S ribosomal RNA". It matches the Rfam family "Bacterial small subunit ribosomal RNA", at positions 338 to 795 of the family's 1533-position model. The record is from RNAcentral.
CCUACGGGAGGCAGCAGUGGGGGAUAUUGCACAAUGGGGGAAACCCUGAUGCAGCGACGCCGCGUGUGGGAAGACGGUCCUCUGGAUUGUAAACCACUGUCCCCAGGGACGAAGAUGACGGUACCUGGGGAGGAAGCUCCGGCAAACUACGUGCCAGCAGCCGCGGUAAUACGUAGGGAGCGAGCGUUGUCCGGAAUUACUGGGUGAAAGGGGAGCGUAGGGGGGGAUGGAAGUUGGGUGUCAAAACUACCGGCUCAACUGGUAGUCGCACUCAAAACUGCAGCUCUUGAGUGAAGUAGAGGCAGGCGGAAUUCCUGGUGUAGCGGUGAAAUGCGUAGAUAUUAGGAGGAACACCAGUGGCGAAGGCGGCCUGCUGCGCUUUUACUGACGCUGAGGCUCGAAGGUGUGGGGAGCGAACAGGAUUAGAUACCCUGGUAGUC